This 77-nucleotide transfer RNA is filed under the name Tessaracoccus lapidicaptus. RNAcentral describes it as "tRNA-Pro". It matches the Rfam family "tRNA". From Rfam's summary of the family: Transfer RNA (tRNA) molecules are approximately 80 nucleotides in length. Their secondary structure includes four short double-helical elements and three loops (D, anti-codon, and T loops). The record is from RNAcentral. RNAcentral also lists the same sequence under 2 other names. Lineage: Bacteria; Bacillati; Actinomycetota; Actinomycetes; Propionibacteriales; Propionibacteriaceae.
CGGGGUGUGGCGCAGCUUGGUAGCGCGCGUCGUUCGGGACGACGAGGCCGCAGGUUCAAAUCCUGUCACCCCGACGA